UACGUAGGGUGCGAGCGUUAUCCGGAUUUAUUGGGUUUAAAGGGUGCGUAGGCUGGUAAUUAAGUCAGUGGUGAAAUACUCCGGCUCAACCGGGGGGCUGCCGUUGAUACUGGUUACCAUGAGUUUAGAUGAUGUGGGCGGAAUGUGUCAUGUAGCGGUGAAAUGCAUAGAGAUGACACAGAACACCGAUAGCGAAGGCAGCUCACAAAGCUAUUACUGACGCUGAUGCACGAAAGCGUGGGGAUCAAACAGGA
RNAcentral lists this ribosomal RNA (254 nucleotides) under uncultured prokaryote. RNAcentral describes it as "partial 16S ribosomal RNA". It matches the Rfam family "Bacterial small subunit ribosomal RNA", at positions 524 to 777 of the family's 1533-position model. The record is from RNAcentral.